UACGAAGGGGGCUAGCGUUGCUCGGAACCACUGGGCGUAAAGCGCACGUAGGCGGACUGCUAAGUCAGGGGUGAAAUCCUGGAGCUCAACUCCAGAACUGCCUUUGAUACUGGCGAUCUCGAGUCCGGGAGAGGUGAGUGGAACUGCGAGUGUAGAGGUGAAAUUCGUAGAUAUUCGCAAGAACACCAGUGGCGAAGGCGGCUCACUGGCCCGGUACUGACGCUGAGGUGCGAAAGCGUGGGGAGCAAACAGG
Molecule: ribosomal RNA, 253 nt
Filed under: uncultured bacterium
Lineage: Bacteria
Description: partial 16S ribosomal RNA
Rfam family: Bacterial small subunit ribosomal RNA
Source: RNAcentral